GAUGAACGCUGGCGGCGUGCCUAAUACAUGCAAGUCGAGCGAACAGACGAGGAGCUUGCUCCUCUGACGUUAGCGGCGGACGGGUGAGUAACACGUGGAUAACCUACCUAUAAGACUGGGAUAACUUCGGGAAACCGGAGCUAAUACCGGAUAAUAUAUUGAACCGCAUGGUUCAAUAGUGAAAGACGGUUUUGCUGUCACUUAUAGAUGUAUCCGCGCCGCAUUAGCUAGUUGGUAAGGUAACGGCUUACCAAGGCGACGAUGCGUAGCCGACCUGAGAGGGUGCUCCGCCACACUGGAACUGAGACACGGUCCAGACUCCUACGGGAGGCAGCAGUAGGGAAUCCUCCGCAAUGGGCGAAAGCCUGACGGAGCAACGCCGCGUGAGUGAUGAAGGUCUUCGGAUCGUAAAACUCUGUUAUUAGGGAAGAACAAAUGUGUAAGUAACUAUGCACGUCUUGACGGUACCUAAUCAGAAAGCCACGGCUAACUACGUG
Molecule: ribosomal RNA, 497 nt
Filed under: uncultured bacterium
Lineage: Bacteria
Description: partial 16S ribosomal RNA
Rfam family: Bacterial small subunit ribosomal RNA
Source: RNAcentral